Molecule: ribosomal RNA, 767 nt
Filed under: Helotiales sp. nwa_besc_80c1
Lineage: Eukaryota; Fungi; Ascomycota; Leotiomycetes; Helotiales
Description: eukaryotic LSU rRNA
Rfam family: Eukaryotic large subunit ribosomal RNA (bases 477-767)
Source: RNAcentral
AGGAUCAUUACAGAGUUCGUGCCCUUCGGGGUAGACCUCCCACCCUUUGUAUACCUACCUUUGUUGCUUUGGCGGGCCGUCGCAAGACCGGCGGCUUCGGCUGUCGUGUGCCCGCCAGAGGACCCCAAACUCUGAAUACAGUGUCGUCUGAGUACUAUAUAAUAGUUAAAACUUUCAACAACGGAUCUCUUGGUUCUGGCAUCGAUGAAGAACGCAGCGAAAUGCGAUAAGUAAUGUGAAUUGCAGAAUUCAGUGAAUCAUCGAAUCUUUGAACGCACAUUGCGCCCCUUGGUAUUCCGGGGGGCAUGCCUCUUCCAGCGUCAUUUCACCCCUCAAGCUCUGCUUGGUUUUGGGCCGCGCCAGCAACGGCGGGCCUCGAAAAUAGUGGCGACGCCAUCGUGCUCUCAGCGUAGUAAUUCUUCUCGCUGUUGGGUCCCGGUGGUUGGUCCGCCAGCAACCCUCAACUUUCUUAAGUUUGACCUGGGAUGAGGUAGGGAUACCCGCUGAACUUAAGCAUAUCAAUAAGCGGAGGAAAAGAAACCAACAGGGAUUGCCUCAGUAACGGCGAGUGAAGCGGCAACAGCUCAAAUUUGAAAUCUGGUCCUUUCAGGUCCCGAGUUGUAAUUUGUAGAAGAUGCUUCGAGCGUGGCUCCGGUCUAAGUCCCUUGGAACAGGGCGUCAUAGAGGGUGAGAAUCCCGUAUGUGACUGGCUGCCUCCGUUCAUGUGAAGCUCUUUCGACGAGUCGAGUUGUUUGGGAAUGCAGCUC